RNAcentral lists this ribosomal RNA (350 nucleotides) under uncultured bacterium. RNAcentral's name for it is "bacterial SSU rRNA". It matches the Rfam family "Bacterial small subunit ribosomal RNA", at positions 355 to 722 of the family's 1533-position model. The record is from RNAcentral.
UGGGGAAUCUUGCACAAUGGGGGAAACCCUGAUGCAGCGAUGCCGCGUGAGUGAAGAAGGCCUUUGGGUUGUAAAACUCUUUCGUCGGGGAAGAAAAUGACUGUACCCGAAUAAGAAGGUCCGGCUAACUUCGUGCCAGCAGCCGCGGUAAUACGAAGGGACCUAGCGUAGUUCGGAAUUACUGGGCUUAAAGAGCUCGUAGGUGGUUAAAAAAGUUGAUGGUGAAAUCCCAAGGCUCAACCUUGGAACUGCCAUCAAAACUUUUUAGCUAGAGUGUGAUAGAGGUAAGUGGAAUUUCUAGUGUAGAGGUGAAAUUCGUAGAUAUUAGAAAGAACACCAAAUGCGAAGGC